Long non-coding RNA from Marmota monax (woodchuck), 1955 nucleotides. RefSeq lists it as uncharacterized. The transcript has 7 exons. The record is from RefSeq and is a predicted model, not a curated record. NCBI's taxonomy places the organism in Eukaryota, Metazoa, Chordata, Mammalia, Rodentia, Sciuridae.
ACAAAAAACAGGGUAAACAAGACUCCUUCUCUCUACCGGCUUAAUCACCUGAACAACUCAGAACACCCUCCUUCCAAACUAUCAGGCACCCUCUUAUUGCAAUGAAGGGAAUAAAGUCAGUCAGACAUUCGCUGCGAAUGGCUUCUGAAGAUGAUCUAGCCCUUCCCCUCUCAUUCCUCAGAUGAGAAGACUGAGGCAAAGAGAAUGAUCAUCCAACUUCACCAGAACUGGCAGGAAAACUAGGAUGAGCUUGAGCCUCCUUAGGAGUGUCAGACAUGGUCCUGAGGCAGUGUCCAAGCCAACAUGGCUGUCGAUGGAAAACGCUGGGUGACAGCACUAGAAAAUGCAUCUGCUUCCAGUCCAGUGUCACAAACCCUAUCUCUGCAGAGAUCACAGACUAAGAAACCAGGAGAUAUAUUAAAGGGCCUUCAAAACAUACUGACAGCUAUUGACAUGUCUCCUCUUUUAUGCCCCAGCAGAAUAUUAAAAGAGAAAAGAAGAGAAUUAUAUAUGAUUUUCCCAGCCAUGAUGUUAAUUGCCUUAAAAGGAAGUUAUGUACCCAGUGAAGAAUGGGGCCAUCCAAGUGGCCUGAAGCUAAGGAAUUCAGAAUGACAUACACCUCGGAUCAUUUAAUGUGGUAAAAUAGGCAAGAAGCAGGAGUGAUUCUGAAUUUCAUGUACUGUGAAAGUAUAAGUAUCAUCUGUGUUGAAAUGGAAGAAAAACCCCUUGCAUUUGAAAUAACUCAAAACCCGAUGUUCUUCAGCUGACCUAAUCACAGAGGAGAAUACAAGGAACAAUGAGAUACACUGUUUGCCUUUACAGAAACUGAAUUGGGUGCGAGGGCUUGUCCGUGUGGGGAUGUGACUGACCAUUGACCUGGAAACCAAUCACUGACCCUGACCUUGGAAUGCUGUCCACCUCGACCUUCAUUGGAUGGAAUUUUCCCCUGGAUUUUUUGUUUCCCAAUAAAAGCCCACUCUCUGGCGUGCUCUUCCUCUCUCCUGCUGGUCUCUUGUGUAAACCUCCCUGGAGAAGCCGUCUCUUAGCUGGGCAAGAAAAAAGGUAAAUUGAGUUUUAUGUGUCUUUAAUUUGAUCUCACUAGUUAACUUCUAUGUUUGGAACCUCUAGUAUGAAGCUAGCGUGCUGGUCACGCGGCAGAACACAGGAAUGUUCAGACAUGAUAGAUUAUGAGAGCUGUAACCUCACCAUUAAAUUAAUCCAUUUUAUGGAUUAAGAAUUUGAAUGGAGGGCUGGGGUUGUGGCUCAGUAGUAGAGCGCUCACCUAGCACAUGUGAGGCCCUGGGUUCGAUCCUCAGAACCAUAAAAAUAAAUAACAUAAAGGUAUUGUGUCCAAUUACAACUAAAAAAUAAUUUUAAAAAAAGAAUUUGAAUGGAUUAUUGGGUGGUGUCUAUGCAAAGGUGGAGGAAUGCUGGAGAAAGGAGGUCACUGGGGGUGUGGCUUUCUUCCAUUACGUUGUUCUGCCUCACCUCUGGCCAAGAGCCUUGGAGCUGACCAACCAUGAACUAAAUCUCUGAACCUAUCAGCCCCAAAUAAACCUUUCCUCCUCUAACUUGUUCUUGUCAGGUGUUUUGAUCACAGUGAUGCAAAGCUAAUCAACACUAUAUCACUUUUGCAAAACAUGGAAAAUACUGCACAAUUGAAUGUUGAAACCAUAUACAUUUGAGUAUAACUAAAGAUGGCUGCAUUUGAACAGUACAUAGUGUGUAAUACAAUAUGUGUAUAAAGCAAGGUAAAGAAAGAGUACUCCUAUUUGCUAGUACUUGCAUAAAAUAACUGAAACAGGAAAUCUUAAUUUGCUUCUAGGAUGUAAGAAUGGGGAGGGUUCUCUUUGUAUAUCCUUUGUGAUUCUAUUUUUUUUUUAAUUUGACUUGUUUAAGUGAAUUACAUAGUCUAAUAAACAAACAAAAUCAAAUGACCUCAAAUUAAAUGAUUA